GAUGAACGCUGGCGGCGUGCCUAAUACAUGCAAGUCGAGCGAGCAGACGAGGAGCUUGCUCCUCUGACGUUAGCGGCGGACGGGUGAGUAACACGUGGAUAACCUACCUAUAAGACUGGGAUAACUUCGGGAAACCGGAGCUAAUACCGGAUAAUAUAUUGAACCGCAUGGUUCAAUAGUGAAAGACGGUUUUGCUGUCACUUAUAGAUGGAUCCGCGCCGCAUUAGCUAGUUGGUAAGGUAACGGCUUACCAAGGCGACGAUGCGUAGCCGACCUGAGAGGGUGAUCGGCCACACUGGAACUGAGACACGGUCCAGACUCCUACGGGAGGCAGCAGUAGGGAAUCUUCCGCAAUGGGCGAAAGCCUGACGGAGCAACGCCGCGUGAGUGAUGAAGGUCUUCGGAUCGUAAAACUCUGUUAUUAGGGAAGGACAAAUGUGUAAGUAACUAUGCACGUCUUGACGGUACCUAAUCAGAAAGCCACGGCUAACUACGUG
RNAcentral lists this ribosomal RNA (497 nucleotides) under uncultured bacterium. RNAcentral describes it as "partial 16S ribosomal RNA". It matches the Rfam family "Bacterial small subunit ribosomal RNA", at positions 28 to 507 of the family's 1533-position model. The record is from RNAcentral.